CCUACGGGGGGCAGCAGUGGGGAAUAUUGCGCAAUGGGCGAAAGCCUGACGCAGCGACGCCGCGUGCGGGAUGAAGGUCUUCGGAUCGUAAACCUCUGUCAGCAGGGAAGAACGGUCACUGUGCUAAUCAGCAGUGAAUUGACGGUACCUGCAAGGGAAGCACCGGCUAACUCCGUGCCAGCAGCCGCGGUAAUACGGAGGGUGCGAGCGUUAAUCGGAAUUACUGGGCGUAAAGCUCUCGUAGGCGGUAUGUGAAGUCAAGGGUGAAAUCCCCGCGCUCAACGUGGGAACUGCCUUUGAAACUGACAAACUAGAGGGUGUGAGAGGAGAGUGGAAUUCAAGGUGUAGGGGUGAAAUGCGUAGAGAUCUGGAGGAACAUCAGUGGCGAAGGCGACUAUCUGGCACAUAACUGACGCUGAGGAGCGAAAGCGUGGGUAGCAAACAGGAUUAGAUACCCCGGUAGUC
This 465-nucleotide ribosomal RNA is filed under the name uncultured bacterium. Its description in RNAcentral is "partial 16S ribosomal RNA". It matches the Rfam family "Bacterial small subunit ribosomal RNA", at positions 338 to 795 of the family's 1533-position model. The record is from RNAcentral.